UCGGGAAUUUUGGGCAAUGGGCGAAAGCCUGACCCAGCAACGCCGCGUGAAGGAUGAAGUAUUUCGGUAUGUAAACUUCGAAAGAAUAGGAAGAAUAAAUGACGGUACUAUUUAUAAGGUCCGGCUAACUACGUGCCAGCAGCCGCGGUAAUACGUAGGGACCAAGCGUUGUUCGGAUUUACUGGGCGUAAAGGGCGCGUAGGCGGCGUGACAAGUCACUUGUGAAAUCUCCGGGCUUAACUCGGAACGGUCAAGUGAUACUGUUGUGCUAGAGUGCAGAAAGGGUAACUGGAAUUCUUGGUGUAGCGGUGAAAUGCGUAGAUAUCAAGAGGAACACCAGAGGCGAAGGCGAGUUACUGGGCUGACACUGACGCUGAGGCGCGAAAGCUAGGGGAGCGAACGGGAUUAGAUACCCCGGUAGUCCCUGAGCGGGCUGGCAAGGCGCAU
RNAcentral lists this ribosomal RNA (447 nucleotides) under uncultured bacterium. Its description in RNAcentral is "bacterial SSU rRNA". It matches the Rfam family "Bacterial small subunit ribosomal RNA", at positions 355 to 825 of the family's 1533-position model. The record is from RNAcentral.